RNAcentral lists this ribosomal RNA (209 nucleotides) under uncultured Syntrophaceae bacterium. RNAcentral describes it as "partial 16S ribosomal RNA". It matches the Rfam family "Bacterial small subunit ribosomal RNA", at positions 568 to 774 of the family's 1533-position model. The record is from RNAcentral. Lineage: Bacteria; Pseudomonadati; Thermodesulfobacteriota; Syntrophia; Syntrophales; Syntrophaceae.
CGUGUAGGCGGCUUGACAAGUCAGAUGUGAAAUCCCUGGGCUUUAACCCAGGAAGUGCAUUUGAAACUGUUUAGGCUGGAGUAAGGGAGAGGAAAGUGGAAUUCCUGGUGUAGAGGUGAAAUUCGUAGAUAUCAGGAGGAACACCGGUGGCGAAGGCGACUUUCUGGCCCUAUACUGACGCUGAGACGCGAAAGCGUGGGUAGCAAACA